GACCUUAUAGUUUAAUUUAAAAUAACAAGUUGCAAGCUUGUAGUUAUAUUUGUGUUAUUAAGGUUU
This 66-nucleotide transfer RNA is filed under the name Ascarosepion mestus. RNAcentral describes it as "tRNA-Cys". Lineage: Eukaryota; Metazoa; Mollusca; Cephalopoda; Sepiida; Sepiidae. The record is from RNAcentral.